This 83-nucleotide transfer RNA is filed under the name Cyclobacteriaceae bacterium. Its description in RNAcentral is "tRNA-Leu". It matches the Rfam family "tRNA". From Rfam's summary of the family: Transfer RNA (tRNA) molecules are approximately 80 nucleotides in length. Their secondary structure includes four short double-helical elements and three loops (D, anti-codon, and T loops). The record is from RNAcentral. Lineage: Bacteria; Pseudomonadati; Bacteroidota; Cytophagia; Cytophagales; Cyclobacteriaceae. RNAcentral also lists the same sequence under 1 other name.
GCGCACGUGGUGAAAUUGGUAGACACGCCAUCUUGAGGGGGUGGUGCCUUACAGGUGUGGAAGUUCGAAUCUUCUCGUGCGCA